This is a long non-coding RNA of Manis pentadactyla (Chinese pangolin), 442 nucleotides long. RefSeq lists it as uncharacterized. The record is from RefSeq and is a predicted model, not a curated record. The transcript is spliced from 2 exons. Lineage: Eukaryota; Metazoa; Chordata; Mammalia; Pholidota; Manidae.
GCCCGCUCCCACUGGCCCAGGAAGCUGUCGAGCCUGCCGCCCAGGCCGCCGAGCAGCCGCAGGGCCUCCUGCACGGCCCCCUCCUCCUGAUGCCAUCGGGCGGUCAGCGAGGACACCUCCCUCCUGCAGUGGCAGCGAAUGCAAAGUUGACAGCUGAAGUCAGAGCAGCUGCCUUGGACCAUCUGAUAGAGGACACACGAUAGAAAUCUGAAUCCUGAACACUGUGGAACCACCAUACUCAAUUAUAACCCUUGUGAAGACUUACAUGCUAGGGAUAGCAUUUCCCAUCUUGUUUAAGCUAUGCUAUUUUGUGUCUGUUAACAACAGCCAAAUUUGUGACUUAAUAGCUGAGCCAACCAGUAACCUGCUGUAUUGGAAAAACAGACCUUCUCUACCUGUUAAGGCUUUUAUGUAAGAAAUAAACUAUCCUGCUUAAACCAGU